ACAGCAGCAGCCGCGGGAAAACGGAGGGAGCUAGCGUUGUUCGGAAUUACUGGGCGUAAAGCGCGCGUAGGCGGUUACUCAAGUCAGAGGUGAAAGCCCGGGGCUCAACCCCGGAACUGCCUUUGAAACUAGGUGACUAGAAUCUUGGAGAGGUCAGUGGAAUUCCGAGUGUAGAGGUGAAAUUCGUAGAUAUUCGGAAGAACACCAGUGGCGAAGGCGACUGACUGGACAAGUAUUGACGCUGAGGUGCGAAAGCGUGGGGAGCAAACAGGAUUAGAGACCCGAGUGUCCCUGUCUCUUAUACA
This 305-nucleotide ribosomal RNA is filed under the name uncultured bacterium. RNAcentral's name for it is "partial 16S ribosomal RNA". It matches the Rfam family "Bacterial small subunit ribosomal RNA", at positions 505 to 808 of the family's 1533-position model. The record is from RNAcentral.